AGGCAUUCAGUUUAAAGAAAAUAUGUCCGUCUCACACUUAUAGCAGCAUUAGGCGAUCUCACCCUUUAAAGAAGACGAAGUGCUUCUGCACCCAGCCGAUAGCUUCACAUGUGACAAUCUCACACUUAUAGCAGCGUGAGGCGGUCUCACCCUUUAAGGAAGACGAAGUGCUUCUGCACCCAGUCUAUAGCUUCAUAUAUGACAAUCUCACACUUAUAGCAGCGUGAGGCGGUCUCACCCUUUCAGGAAGACGAAGUGCUUCUGCACCCGGCCUAUAGCUUCUCACACAUAGAACAGCCUAUGGCUUCUACAUAUGGCAUCUCACA
Molecule: non-coding RNA, 326 nt
Organism: Xyrichtys novacula (pearly razorfish)
Lineage: Eukaryota; Metazoa; Chordata; Actinopteri; Labriformes; Labridae
Source: the annotation of a GenBank genome assembly